GAUUUCUGGCUUGGUGCGCCUGGCCCACUGCCUUCAGGUACGUGAGUGCCGGUGCGCGCCUGCCAUCCCUUCUAGAAAACGAUUCUGCCCUUCACUGGGCCGGAGUCGCGAUCUAGAUCUUUUACUUUGAAAAAAUUAGAGUGUUUAAAGCAGGCUUGCGCUAUGAAUACAUUAGCAUGGAAUAAUAAUCUAGGACUUCGGUUCUAUUUUGUUGGUUUCUAUAACUGAAGUAAUGAUUGAUAGGGAUAGUUGGGGGUGCUAGUAUUGGCCGGCCAGAGGUGAAAUUCUUGGAUUCGGUCAAGACUAACUUAUGCGAAAGCAUU
RNAcentral lists this ribosomal RNA (323 nucleotides) under uncultured Protaspa. RNAcentral describes it as "SSU rRNA". The stretch from base 106 to 323 matches the Rfam family "Eukaryotic small subunit ribosomal RNA", at positions 736 to 955 of the family's 1831-position model. The record is from RNAcentral. Lineage: Eukaryota; Cercozoa; Thecofilosea; Cryomonadida.